RNAcentral lists this ribosomal RNA (1372 nucleotides) under uncultured bacterium. RNAcentral's name for it is "bacterial SSU rRNA". It matches the Rfam family "Bacterial small subunit ribosomal RNA", at positions 28 to 1381 of the family's 1533-position model. The record is from RNAcentral.
GAUGAACGCUGGCGGCGUGCCUAAUACAUGCAAGUCGAGCGAACGGACGAGAAGCUUGCUUCUCUGAUGUUAGCGGCGGACGGGUGAGUAACACGUGGAUAACCUACCUAUAAGACUGGGAUAACUUCGGGAAACCGGAGCUAAUACCGGAUAAUAUUUUGAACCGCAUGGUUCAAAAGUGAAAGACGGUCUUGCUGUCACUUAUAGAUGGAUCCGCGCUGCAUUAGCUAGUUGGUAAGGUAACGGCUUACCAAGGCAACGAUGCAUAGCCGACCUGAGAGGGUGAUCGGCCACACUGGAACUGAGACACGGUCCAGACUCCUACGGGAGGCAGCAGUAGGGAAUCUUCCGCAAUGGGCGAAAGCCUGACGGAGCAACGCCGCGUGAGUGAUGAAGGUCUUCGGAUCGUAAAACUCUGUUAUUAGGGAAGAACAUAUAUGUAAGUAACUGUGCACAUCUUGACGGUACCUAAUCAGAAAGCCACGGCUAACUACGUGCCAGCAGCCGCGGUAAUACGUAGGUGGCAAGCGUUAUCCGGAAUUAUUGGGCGUAAAGCGCGCGUAGGCGGUUUUUUAAGUCUGAUGUGAAAGCCCACGGCUCAACCGUGGAGGGUCAUUGGAAACUGGAAAACUUGAGUGCAGAAGAGGAAAGUGGAAUUCCAUGUGUAGCGGUGAAAUGCGCAGAGAUAUGGAGGAACACCAGUGGCGAAGGCGACUUUCUGGUCUGUAACUGACGCUGAUGUGCGAAAGCGUGGGGAUCAAACAGGAUUAGAUACCCUGGUAGUCCACGCCGUAAACGAUGAGUGCUAAGUGUUAGGGGGUUUCCGCCCCUUAGUGCUGCAGCUAACGCAUUAAGCACUCCGCCUGGGGAGUACGACCGCAAGGUUGAAACUCAAAGGAAUUGACGGGGACCCGCACAAGCGGUGGAGCAUGUGGUUUAAUUCGAAGCAACGCGAAGAACCUUACCAAAUCUUGACAUCCUUUGACAACUCUAGAGAUAGAGCUUUCCCCUUCGGGGGACAAAGUGACAGGUGGUGCAUGGUUGUCGUCAGCUCGUGUCGUGAGAUGUUGGGCUAAGUCCCGCAACGAGCGCAACCCUUAAGCUUAGUUGCCAUCAUUAAGUUGGGCACUCUAAGUUGACUGCCGGUGACAAACCGGAGGAAGGUGGGGAUGACGUCAAAUCAUCAUGCCCCUUAUGAUUUGGGCUACACACGUGCUACAAUGGACAAUACAAAGGGCAGCGAAACCGCGAGGUCAAGCAAAUCCCAUAAAGUUGUUCUCAGUUCGGAUUGUAGUCUGCAACUCGACUACAUGAAGCUGGAAUCGCUAGUAAUCGUAGAUCAGCAUGCUACGGUGAAUACGUUCCCGGGUCU